UACACCUAAUUAUAAUUAAAAUAAAAAUUUUAAGACUCCUUAUAAUUUACACAAAAUAAAAUUAUAAAUAAAAAAAAUAAAAAUGUUUAUGAACACAUAUUACCACUAUUAUUAAUCAUUUUCACCAACUAAACUAACGACACCCACUUACUUUUUUUAUUCAAAGAAAGGGGACACGUAUUGCAACUUUUUCACAGAGAAUGACAGACACGUUUUGCUCUCUGAUUGGUCAAAACCCCACAGCCAAUCAAAAACAGGAACGGAUGGAUGCCUUGGUCUUUUCAGUGGGACCCACAUGAUAAAAAGUCCGACCAAUCACGUCUCGUCUCCGUCCCGAUUGUUGCCCUCGACACGCGUUGGCUUCUUAUUCCACCACGAAGCUCUCUGCUAUGAUUAUCGCUUUCACACGGCUCCGAAAAAAAAAAGAGCCAGAAAGAGAGGGAGAGAGAGAGAGAGAGAGAGAGAGUCAGUAGAGAUGGAGAGUGCAGAAGAGAGUUAGGGUUUUUAUAUAAAAAUACAGAGAGUGAAUCCAGCAGAAAAAAAAACAAACCAAGAACGAUAAAAGUCGAAGCUUUUUCUUUUUCUUCUGAAAAAAAAGCAAGAGAAAAAGGGAGAUAAUCUCGGUGUUGAAAUACAGAGAGAGGAGGGAGAGGAAGAAGACGAAGUGGGUUUCAUUUAUGGACGCUGGAGACAUGUGGAGCAUGCUAAGAUGCGCGGGGGGUGCGCAGGAUAAAACGAUAAUCAAUCGCUUGAUGCUCACAUUCCGGCCGAUUGCCCCGAACCCUCCCGUCGGCGAGCCGUUUCCGGGUAACCCAGGAUCUGACAACAAGAGCCUGCUGCUUGUCAACAAGAGAUCUAAGAGAAAGUACGUUAGGGUUUGCAAGAAUAAUACCAGGAAAAAAGAUGAUAAUAAUAAUAAGAAUAAUUAUAAUAACAAAAAUAGCUCGUCAGAUCAAGAGAGAUCAGAACAAGGUGUGGUCACACUGCAGUUGCUGCCGGAGAGCGGUGAUGAAUGCAAGGAGCCGAGACACAAUCCACCGUCAUCGUCCGAUCUUGAUCCUACGGCGGAGGUAAUGCAAGAAUAUCAUGUCGUUGAUGAAGAAAAUCAAAACCCACCCACGUGGCUGGAAAUCGGGCCGUCAGCAACAGAUCCGACGGGGCCGGUUGAGUCAUGGGUAACGGUGGAGUGCGUGACCGACGCAUGCAUGAGCGGAGCCGAACUGAACGGGAGUAGUUCGGGCACGUUCGACGUAGAGAGAAUAAUGGAGCAUCUAGAGAGAGACACGUGUCCCGGGUUCAUAUCCGACGGGUCGAACCGGGUCAGUUGGGUAAACGGUGCGUAUCGGAGAAUGAUUGGUGUAACGGGACCGGACGGAGAAGUAGCGGUGCGGUUGGUGGUGAAAGAGAAGCUGCCGUGGCAAUACGCACCGUUUUCAUGUCAAGCGCGGGUGCAGUACAACAAGUGUCAGAAGAUGGUGCCCUGUGAUGUUUGGAGAAUGGAUUUUAAUGGAGGUCUUGCAUGGAGGCUUGACAUUAAAGCUGCGCUCAGUUUGGGUCUGUAAACUCAUUGAGGAAGACGGAGAUAAUUAUUCAAGAAACAAAGGUAUAUUUAUACUUAUUAUAUAUAUAUUUGUUUCUUUAAGACAAAUCUUAUGGGGAAUUAAUGAGGGUGUAGGGUACUUAUAGUAACUAAAAGAUGGAGAAGAAGAAGAUGAUG
This 1717-nucleotide long non-coding RNA is filed under the name Carica papaya (papaya). Its description in RNAcentral is "long non-coding RNA (CPAP_LNC002448)". Lineage: Eukaryota; Viridiplantae; Streptophyta; Magnoliopsida; Brassicales; Caricaceae. The record is from RNAcentral.